This is a long non-coding RNA of Poecile atricapillus (Black-capped chickadee), 454 nucleotides long. RefSeq lists it as uncharacterized. The transcript has 3 exons. The record is from RefSeq and is a predicted model, not a curated record. Lineage: Eukaryota; Metazoa; Chordata; Aves; Passeriformes; Paridae.
UUUAUUCUGGAGACCCCCCAGACCCCGGGGGUUUAAUUUGGGGAGGGGUCUCACAGGUUUUUAACCCCCCCAGACCCCCGGGGUUUAUUCUGGAGACCCCCCAGACCCCCCGGGGUUAAUUUGGGGAGGGGUCUCACAGGUUUUUAACCCCCUCAGACCCCCGGGGAUUAUUUGGGGAGGGGUCUCCACUGCUCCCCCCACAGGUUUUUGUCCCCCCCAGACCCCCAGGGUUAUUUUGGGGAGGGGUCUCGCCGGUUUCUGACCCCCCCAGCCCCCGGGGGUGUUAAUUUGGGGAGGGGUCUCCCCCCUAGACCCCCGGGGAUUAUUUGGGGAGGGGUCUCCACUGCUCCCCCCACAGGUUUUUGUCCCCCCCAGACCCCGGGGGGUUAUUUUGAGGAGGGGUCUCGCAGGUUUCUGACCCCCCCAGCCCCCGGGGGUGUUAAUUUGGGGAGGG